This 73-nucleotide transfer RNA is filed under the name Felis catus (domestic cat). It matches the Rfam family "tRNA". Rfam says of the family: Transfer RNA (tRNA) molecules are approximately 80 nucleotides in length. The record is from Rfam by way of RNAcentral. Lineage: Eukaryota; Metazoa; Chordata; Mammalia; Carnivora; Felidae. RNAcentral also lists the same sequence under 3 other names.
GCUUGGCUGGCUCAGUUGGUGAAGCAUGUGACUCUUGAUCUUGGGGUUGUGAGUUCGAACCCCAUGCUGGGUG